RNAcentral lists this long non-coding RNA (253 nucleotides) under Capsella rubella. Its description in RNAcentral is "long non-coding RNA (CRUB_LNC002553)". The record is from RNAcentral. Lineage: Eukaryota; Viridiplantae; Streptophyta; Magnoliopsida; Brassicales; Brassicaceae.
GGAUUACCAGAAAUUCUCAAAAUUUCAAAGAUAUAAAAACUAAGCAAGUCUUGUGGAAACAAACCUAUAGAAUAGGAUUUUUUUUUUUUUUUUGAAAAUUAAUAAUCAAUAAGAAAAAGUCACGUAAUAUUGUUAGAAAGCUGAAAAAAUGGUUUUUAGAUUUUAUGAAGGAAUUGGGCAAAUCUCACAAAAUCUGGUUUCCCUAAAUUUAAGGAAAUCUACUUUUAUAAGAAUCGUGAAUGGCAAUUUUUCU